RNAcentral lists this transfer RNA (87 nucleotides) under Athelia sp. TMB. Its description in RNAcentral is "tRNA-Ala". It matches the Rfam family "tRNA". Rfam says of the family: Transfer RNA (tRNA) molecules are approximately 80 nucleotides in length. The record is from RNAcentral. Lineage: Eukaryota; Fungi; Basidiomycota; Agaricomycetes; Atheliales; Atheliaceae.
GGGCAUAUGGUGUAGCUGGUUAUCACGCCCGCUUAGCAUCUUCUGAUCAUCUGCGGGCGGUCUCCGGUUCGAGUCCGGAUUUGUCCA